UAUUGCUCUAUCUAUUUGGUUGCCUAGCAAUUUGAAUUUGAGACAGAUGUCUAUUAGCUUAUUCUCAUCGGGGCUUUUCAUUUAUUGUUCCGCAAUAUUGUUGCAUGCUUUAUAAUUUCAGUUAUUAAGAAAUUUCCUUCAACUCAUAACCUUAGC
Drosophila navojoa is the source of this 156-nucleotide long non-coding RNA. Lineage: Eukaryota; Metazoa; Arthropoda; Insecta; Diptera; Drosophilidae. The record is from RefSeq and is a predicted model, not a curated record.